GUCUAUGGCCAUGCUACCCUGAACACGCCUGAUCUCAUCUGUUCUUGGAAGCUAAGCAGGGUCAGGCUUGUUUACGACUUGGAUGGGAGACCAUCUGGGAAUACCAGGUGCUGUCAGCU
RNAcentral lists this ribosomal RNA (119 nucleotides) under Theropithecus gelada (gelada). Lineage: Eukaryota; Metazoa; Chordata; Mammalia; Primates; Cercopithecidae. The record is from RNAcentral.